CAGCGCCACAAGUGGCAAUCCUGUUUAUUUGGCCUAAAGCGUCCGUAGCUGGUUUAGUAAAUCUCUUGUGAAAUCGUUAAGCUUAACUUAACGGCGUGCAGGAGAGACUGCUAGACUAGGGACUGGGAGGAGUUAGAGGUAUGCUGGGGGGAGCGGUAAAAUGCUAUAAUCCCCAGUGGACCACCUGUGGCGAAGGCGUCUAACUAGAACAGGUCCGACAGUGAGGGACGAAAGCCAGGGGAGCAAACCGGAUUAGAGACCCGAGUAGUCC
This 271-nucleotide ribosomal RNA is filed under the name uncultured archaeon. RNAcentral describes it as "partial 16S ribosomal RNA". It matches the Rfam family "Archaeal small subunit ribosomal RNA", at positions 477 to 747 of the family's 1478-position model. The record is from RNAcentral.